Molecule: ribosomal RNA, 440 nt
Filed under: Salmonella enterica subsp. enterica
Lineage: Bacteria; Pseudomonadati; Pseudomonadota; Gammaproteobacteria; Enterobacterales; Enterobacteriaceae
Description: bacterial SSU rRNA
Rfam family: Bacterial small subunit ribosomal RNA
Source: RNAcentral
CCUACGGGUGGCUGCAGUGGGGAAUAUUGGACAAUGGGCGAAAGCCUGAUCCAGCAAUGCCGCGUGAGUGAUGAAGGCCUUAGGGUUGUAAAGCUCUUUUACCCGGGAUGAUAAUGACAGUACCGGGAGAAUAAGCUCCGGCUAACUCCGUGCCAGCAGCCGCGGUAAUACGGAGGGAGCUAGCGUUGUUCGGAAUUACUGGGCGUAAAGCGCACGUAGGCGGCUUUGUAAGUUAGAGGUGAAAGCCUGGAGCUCAACUCCAGAACUGCCUUUAAGACUGCAUCGCUUGAAUCCGGGAGAGGUGAGUGGAAUUCCGAGUGUAGAGGUGAAAUUCGUAGAUAUUCGGAAGAACACCAGUGGCGAAGGCGGCUCACUGGACCGGUAUUGACGCUGAGGUGCGAAAGCGUGGGGAGCAAACAGGAUUAGAUACCCUUGUAGUC